This 593-nucleotide ribosomal RNA is filed under the name Colletotrichum nymphaeae. RNAcentral describes it as "partial large subunit ribosomal RNA". It matches the Rfam family "Eukaryotic large subunit ribosomal RNA", at positions 36 to 653 of the family's 3401-position model. Lineage: Eukaryota; Fungi; Ascomycota; Sordariomycetes; Glomerellales; Glomerellaceae. The record is from RNAcentral.
AAGCAUAUCAAUAAGCGGAGGAAAAGAAACCAACAGGGAUUGCCCCAGUAACGGCGAGUGAAGCGGCAACAGCUCAAAUUUGAAAUCUGGCCCCAGGCCCGAGUUGUAAUUUGCAGAGGAUGCUUUUGGCGCGGUGCCUUCCGAGUUCCCUGGAACGGGACGCCAUAGAGGGUGAGAGCCCCGUACGGUUGGACACCAAGCCUUUGUAAAGCUCCUUCGACGAGUCGAGUAGUUUGGGAAUGCUGCUCUAAAUGGGAGGUACAUUUCUUCUAAAGCUAAAUAUUGGCCAGAGACCGAUAGCGCACAAGUAGAGUGAUCGAAAGAUGAAAAGCACUUUGAAAAGAGGGUUAAACAGCACGUGAAAUUGUUAAAAGGGAAGCGCUUGUGACCAGACUUGCGUCCGGUGAAUCACCCAGCUCUCGCGGCUGGGGCACUUCGCCGGCACAGGCCAGCAUCAGCUUGCCGUCGGGGACAAAAGCUUCAGGAACGUGGCUCCUCUCGGGGAGUGUUAUAGCCUGUUGCAUAAUACCCUUCGGCGGGCUGAGGUACGCGCUCCGCAAGGAUGCUGGCGUAAUGGUCAUCAGCGACCCGUC